Molecule: ribosomal RNA, 630 nt
Filed under: uncultured bacterium
Lineage: Bacteria
Description: bacterial SSU rRNA
Rfam family: Bacterial small subunit ribosomal RNA (bases 1-557)
Source: RNAcentral
CCUACGGGAGGCAGCAGUGGGGAAUUUUGGACAAUGGACGCAAGUCUGAUCCAGCAAUGCCGCGUGCAGGAUGAAGGCCUUCGGGUUGUAAACUGCUUUUGUACGGAACGAAAAGGUCUGCCCUAAUACGGUGGGCCCAUGACGGUACCGUAAGAAUAAGCACCGGCUAACUACGUGCCAGCAGCCGCGGUAAUACGUAGGGUGCAAGCGUUAAUCGGAAUUACUGGGCGUAAAGCGUGCGCAGGCGGUUUAUAUAACGACAGAUGUGAAAUCCCCGGGCUCAACCUGGGACCUGCAUUUGUGACUGUAUAGCUAGAGUACGGUAGAGGGGGAUGGAAUUCCGCGUGUAGCAGUGAAAUGCGUAGAUAUGCGGAGGAACACCGAUGGCGAAGGCAAUCCCCUGGACCUGUACUGACGCUCAUGCACGAAAGCGUGGGGAGCAAACAGGAUUAGAUACCCUGGUAGUCCACGCCCUUAAACGGAUGUACACUGGUUGUUGGUAUUCUUUACGUGUAUCUAGUAACGAACGACGUACGUACGNGAGUUAGUACGCCGUCGGAGGUACGGCGCGAGUAGUAACGUAAGUAGAGUAGUAGCGNGAGAGNGCGACGACGACGACGAGGGAGGAGG